RNAcentral lists this long non-coding RNA (207 nucleotides) under Lathyrus oleraceus (garden pea). RNAcentral describes it as "Pisum sativum (pea) long non-coding RNA (PSAT_LNC000864)". The record is from RNAcentral. Lineage: Eukaryota; Viridiplantae; Streptophyta; Magnoliopsida; Fabales; Fabaceae.
UCAUAUCUCCCGAUGUUCAGAUCGAAGUCAUUUCCAGUAUUCAGACUGAUGAGCAGCAUUCAAGCCAUGGUUAUUUAUGUGUUACUAUUUAUUUUGGUAUCCAGGUUAACAUUCUUUUUUGGUAUUCAGACUGACUCUCACCGUACCAGACGGAUUCUUCUUUCAAGACCACCUCUUUGCUGAUUCUGACAGGCAUUGUUACUUCAC